CUAGUAACGGCGAGUGAAGCGGCAACAGCUCAAAUUUGAAAUCUGGCGUCUUUGGCGUCCGAGUUGUAAUUUGCAGAGGGCGCUUUGGCAUUGGCAGCGGUCCAAGUUCCUUGGAACAGGACGUCACAGAGGGUGAGAAUCCCGUACGUGGUCGCUAGCCUUUACCGUGUAAAGCCCCUUCGACGAGUCGAGUUGUUUGGGAAUGCAGCUCUAAAUGGGAGGUAAAUUUCUUCUAAAGCUAAAUACUGGCCAGAGACCGAUAGCGCACAAGUAGAGUGAUCGAAAGAUGAAAAGCACUUUGGAAAGAGAGUUAAAAAGCACGUGAAAUUGUUGAAAGGGAAGCGCUUGCAGCCAGACUUGCCUGUAGUUGCUCAUCCGGGUUUUUACCCGGUGCACUCUUCUAUAGGCAGGCCAGCAUCAGUUUGGGCGGUUGGAUAAAGGUCUCUGUCACGUACCUCCUCUCGGGGAGAACUUAUAGGGGAGACGUAAUGCAACCAGCCUGGACUGAGGUCCGCGCAUCUGCUAGGAUGCUGGCGUAAUGGCUGUAAGCGGCCCGUCUUGAAACACGGACCAAGGAGUCUAACAUCUAUGCGAGUGUUUGGGUGUCAAGCCCGAGCGCGUAAUGAAAGUGAACGGAGGUGGGAACCUUUCGGGGUGCACCAUCGACCGAUCCUGAUGUCUUCGGAUGGAUUUGAGUAAGAGCAUAGCUGUUGGGACCCGAAAGAUGGUGAACUAUGCUUGAAUAGGGUGAAGCCAGAGGAAACUCUGGUGGAGGCUCGCAGCGGUUCUGACGUGCAAAUCGAUCGUCAAAUUUGGGCAUAGGGGCGAAAGACUAAUCGAACUAUCUAGUAGCUGGUUCCUGCCGAAGUUUCCCUCAGGAUAGCAGUAACGUUUUCAGUUUUAUGAGGUAAAGCGAAUGAUUAGAGGCCUGGGGGUUGAAACAACCUUCACCUAUUCUCAAACUUUAAAUAUGUAAGAAGUCCUUGUUACUUAAUUGAACGUGGACAGUUGAAUGUAUCGUUACUAGUGGGCCAUUUUUGGUAAGCAGAACUGGCGAUGCGGGAUGAACCGAACGCGGGGUUAAGGUGCCAGAAUAUACGCUCAUCAGACACCACAAAAGGUGUUAGUUCAUCUAGACAGCAGGACGGUGGCCAUGGAAGUCGGAAUCCGCUAAGGAGUGUGUAACAACUCACCUGCCGAAUGAACUAGCCCUGAAAAUGGAUGGCGCUCAAGCGUAUUACCCAUACCCCGCCGCUGGGGCAAGAUUUAAGCCCCAGCGAGUAGGCAGGCGUGGAGGUCCGUGACGAAGCCUGGG
Molecule: ribosomal RNA, 1315 nt
Filed under: Boeremia exigua var. kasensis (nom. inval.)
Lineage: Eukaryota; Fungi; Ascomycota; Dothideomycetes; Pleosporales; Didymellaceae
Description: Boeremia sp. YH-2018b partial large subunit ribosomal RNA
Rfam family: Eukaryotic large subunit ribosomal RNA
Source: RNAcentral